AUAGACCUGACUGAAACUAAACAUUUUCUUAUCAGUUAUAAGAGAAGAAAAUUACUGUUUUUAAUUCAAAACAAAAAUAUGAGCGUGAUAGUCACAGUUGCUGUCUACUAUCUCUUUAAAAUGUGCUGAAAUAUAGUUUGGAAAUAGUAACAGGGAUGGUUCCAAGAAGAUUAGGAAGAGGAACAACUAAUACAAGAAUAAACACAUUUAUUAUUUUAAAAAGAACCAUUCAGCUCACUGUGAUUUACUGAGUUUUAAUAUUACUGUUAUUAGUUUUAGUACUACUGUCAGAGGUCCCAGGUGAAAAAACACGCCAACUUUUUUUUUUUUUUUUUUAAAACACAGACGCGACUGCAUAAUCCUACUUAAUAUUUCAUCCUUGUGUAACUAGAGAUGCGGCUGGUCAGGGAGGCAUUUAUACUAACAUACACUUACAGCUUUAUACUUACACUUUAUACUUAAUAAUAACAUAAACACAUGUCCACAAAAAAUAAUGUAGUAAAAUUAUAUUAUUUUAGCCUUGUGAAGUUGUAAAAGGUGGCAGUACCUAGAUUAUGAAUUCUACCAGUGACAGUUUCCUUUUGUAUAUUAUUCAGGCUUGCAUUGGAAGCUGAAAUGCUCACCUACCGGUGUAUUAUUUGUGUUUAGGGAAACCUGUGGUGUUUAAGGGAGAGGGUUGUUGGACACAGUUCUUCUAGUCAAUAUGUUUAUUGUAUUGUGUACAGUAAAACAGCUUUAAGGUUUUCGUUAAUACUCUUUGGUGCAGCUUAAGUUUUUCCAGUGUGGCUAAAAAAUGCUAAGUUACUUUAGCCACAGUGGAUAACUAGAUGAAAGUCUUAAAAGGAUCAUAGCAUAUAGUUGUGUAAUCUCUUUAAAAGGCUCAACUAUGGAAGUCCCAAAUUAAAAUCCCUCCCCUACUCUUCCCUCAACUCCACCCCCCACCCCACACGCCCUACCCACAGCAGUACACUAAGACUAGGCUUUGACAUUACUCUGAGACACUGCACUGAAACUGCUUGAAGCCAGGGAGAUAAGAGGGCCAACUGCCUAUGACUUUGUGAACACUCAGAAGGUAUGAAGCCUCUGGUAACCAUGUGUGAUGUUCUUUUGGUUAAGCUCUGUAUUUGAGUCUGAGAGCGCCACCAAGUGGAUCUGAGAGGGGUUGUUGGCGCAUGUUAUCUAAACAGAGAUGAUCAGCGCCCUCUACCUUUAUAAAUGUACAUUUAUUUCUUCCCUUAUAUUUUCUCCCAUUUCCCUAUCUUUUUUUUUUAAAUAAUUUUCGCUAUACAUUUCUUUCUCCAUUUGUUUUUCUCUCCCUUCAACUUUCAAAAUAUCAUUCACUGUUGUUACUUCAAUUUCUAUUUCCCUUAAUUUUCUGUUGAAUGUGUUUCUUUGCUGAAUAUAUGCACUGCACAUCCAUUAAGGUUUUCUUUAGCCACAGCAUUCACUGCUGUAGUGUCCAAAGGUAUUAUUAUUUGUCAAUUUGUUCAUUUAGAGUUGCUUUUUUUGCUUCAAAAUCCACAAUUUAAUUUCCAAAGAUAUCCGAGUGACUAGGAAUCCAGGCUAUCAGAAUAUUUUUUACAAUUUUUAUAGCUAGUAUGUAACUUCUGAAUAAUUUCAUAUAUAAUAUCUAUCCUAUCUCCUGCAUCCGAUUGUAAUGCCUGUAUCAAGUUUAGAGAAUCUGUAAAAAUCACGACAUUUUUUUCUUUCUAUUGCUCUAUUUUGCCUACGGCCAUAAGUAUUGCAAUCAACUCUACAGUAAAUACUGAUAAAUGAUUUGAUAAGCUUCCCCUUUUAUAUAUUUCAAAUUUGUGUCUACAGUAAGCAUACCCUCUUUUCCCAGAUUUACAGUAGGUUCUUUUGAUCCACCUGUGUAUAUCUGCAACGUUACAAUGUACUUCUUCAUCCGUCACAGCCCGCGUUUUAAAUCUCUGCCUUGAUUGUGCAGUUACACAGCGCUUCCUCCAAUUUCCCAUGAUGAAAAUAAAGCGAAAACAAAGCGAACCACACAAGCUACGGUAAUGUAAAAAAGUGAAUCAUUAAACAGUUUCAGAUACAGUGAUGCAUUUUUUUUUUGAAUCUGUGAUCUUUAGUUGCUUUUGUGCAUUUUCAUUAGCAAGUGAACUGAGACAUUAGGGUCUUAUCCAGCUCUAUAUUCUGCAAUUUUGAAGACUCUGGAUACUGUUCUAGUUGUGGAAACUGGUGUUGUUGUUUUCUUAAUCUUUUGCUCAAUUGUUUUGACUUUUAUGUUUUAUGCAGUUCUGUGUAUGGGUAACAUUUUUAUUUAAUUUUGCUGUUGGGAAUUUUUACUGCUACAAUACGUACCGGCUUUAAAAGUAUAGCAGCAAUGAGCUGCGGGGUUUCCAGGAUAUAAUGAGACAGACAACAGUUGCGGUUCAAAGCAGUAGGAAACCGUUGCAUUUUUUUUUUUUUUUUUAGCUUUUAGUGAUCAAUUCUCCCACUGUCAGGUCCUGCUUCUCUCUUUCAGACUGUCAUCUCCAUACACACUCCCCAAGUCCCUCCCAGUUCCUCACUCAUUGGUCCAAUGCUCCCUGUCUCUGACAGGUCGUGUCAGACCUGCUCCCGCUCCCACUUCUGUAGCUGUGUAUAUCUUUGCGUGCAAAAUACACAGUGGUGGCUGAAUAUGCCGCAUUAUUGAUCAUUAUUGAGAACCACAAUCCUGCAGUUUUUUAGAUUGCUUAGUUACUAAAUAAUAGGAAG
This is a long non-coding RNA of Polyodon spathula (Mississippi paddlefish), 2721 nucleotides long. RefSeq lists it as uncharacterized. The record is from RefSeq and is a predicted model, not a curated record. NCBI's taxonomy places the organism in Eukaryota, Metazoa, Chordata, Actinopteri, Acipenseriformes, Polyodontidae. The transcript has 3 exons.